This 500-nucleotide ribosomal RNA is filed under the name uncultured Myrionecta. RNAcentral's name for it is "SSU rRNA". It matches the Rfam family "Eukaryotic small subunit ribosomal RNA", at positions 33 to 598 of the family's 1831-position model. Lineage: Eukaryota; Ciliophora; Litostomatea; Cyclotrichida; Mesodiniidae. The record is from RNAcentral.
UUUGGUUCAGAUAGCCAUGCACGUCUAAGUACAAACUAAAUGAUGGUGAAACUGCAAAUGGCUCAUUACAACGGUUAUGAUGUACCCGGGAGUUCCGGUGGAUAUUUCCAGUAACACUAGAACUAAUACAUGUCCCUGCGUUUAUUAGUUUCGCACAGUCCGUCGCUGAGUCAUGGUAAACAGUUGAUCGACUCGACGUCCCGGAACAGUUUCCGCCCCAUCAGCUUCGAUGGUUGGGUAUUGGCCUACCAUUGCAACAACGGGUAACGAGGAAUUAGGGUUUGAUUUCGGAGAGGGAGCCUGAGAAACGGCUACCACAUCUACGGAUGGCAGCAGGCGCGCAAAUUACCCAAUGCAGACACUGUGAGGUAGUGACGAGAAAUAAUAAAGCGGGACUUCUGUUUCGCUAUUAUAAUGAGGAAUAACCAAAGGUCAUUCCGAUUAGCAACUGAUGGGAAAGUCUGGUGCCAGCAGCCGCGGUAAUACCAGCGUCAGUAGCA